GACGAACGCUGGCGGCGUGCUUAACACAUGCAAGUCGAACGGAAAGGCCCUGCUUUUGUGGGGUGCUCGAGUGGCGAACGGGUGAGUAACACGUGAGUAACCUGCCCUUGACUUUGGGAUAACUUCAGGAAACUGGGGCUAAUACCGGAUAGGAGCUCCUGCUGCAUGGUGGGGGUUGGAAAGUUUCGGCGGUUGGGGAUGGACUCGCGGCUUAUCAGCUUGUUGGUGGGGUAGUGGCUUACCAAGGCUUUGACGGGUAGCCGGCCUGAGAGGGUGACCGGCCACAUUGGGACUGAGAUAAGGCCCAGACUCCUACGGGAGGCAGCAGUGGGGAAUAUUGCACAAUGGGCGGAGGCCUGAUGCAGCAACGCCGCGUGCGGGAUGACGGCCUUCGGGUUGUAAACCGCUUUCGCCUGUGACGAAGCGUGAGUGACGGUAAUGGGUAAAGAAGCACCGGCUAACUACGUG
Molecule: ribosomal RNA, 468 nt
Filed under: uncultured bacterium
Lineage: Bacteria
Description: partial 16S ribosomal RNA
Rfam family: Bacterial small subunit ribosomal RNA
Source: RNAcentral